UACGUAGGGUGCAAGCGUUGUCCGGAAUUAUUGGGCGUAAAGAGCUCGUAGGCGGUUUGUCGCGUCGGCUGUGAAAUCUCGGGGCUCAACCCCGAGCCUGCAGUCGAUACGGGCAGACUAGAGUGCUGUAGGGGAGACUGGAAUUCCUGGUGUAGCGGUGAAAUGCGCAGAUAUCAGGAGGAACACCGAUGGCGAAGGCAGCCCCCUGGGUCGACACUGACGCUCAUGCACGAAAGCGUGGGGAGCAAACAGG
RNAcentral lists this ribosomal RNA (253 nucleotides) under uncultured bacterium. Its description in RNAcentral is "partial 16S ribosomal RNA". It matches the Rfam family "Bacterial small subunit ribosomal RNA", at positions 524 to 776 of the family's 1533-position model. The record is from RNAcentral.